AUUGAACGCUGGCGGCAGGCCUAACACAUGCAAGUCGAACGAGUGGCGGACGGGUGAGUAAUGUCUGGGAAACUGCCUGAUGGAGGGGGAUAACUACUGGAAACGGUAGCUAAUACCGCAUACCAUCGGAUGUGCCCAGAUGGGAGUAGCUAGUAGGUGGGGUAACGGCUCACCUAGGCGACGAUCCCUAGCUGGUCUGAGAGGAUGACCAGCAACACUGGAACGAGGACACGAUCAAGAAUCCUACGGAAGGCAGAGGAGGGGAAAAGUGCACAGUGGGCGCAAGCGUGAUGCAGCCAUGCGGCGUGGAUGAAGAAGGCCUUGGGGGUGUAAAGUACGUUCAGCGGGGAGGCGUUACCCGCAGAAGAAGCACCGGCUAACUCCGUGCCAGCAGCCGCGGUAAUAC
This 406-nucleotide ribosomal RNA is filed under the name uncultured bacterium. RNAcentral's name for it is "partial 16S ribosomal RNA". It matches the Rfam family "Bacterial small subunit ribosomal RNA", at positions 29 to 526 of the family's 1533-position model. The record is from RNAcentral.